RNAcentral lists this ribosomal RNA (839 nucleotides) under Salmonella enterica subsp. enterica serovar Kentucky. RNAcentral describes it as "partial 23S ribosomal RNA". The stretch from base 108 to 839 matches the Rfam family "Eukaryotic large subunit ribosomal RNA", at positions 1 to 731 of the family's 3401-position model. Lineage: Bacteria; Pseudomonadati; Pseudomonadota; Gammaproteobacteria; Enterobacterales; Enterobacteriaceae. The record is from RNAcentral.
UGACUUACGGUGGUUGAGUGGAUGCUCGAAGCCAGUCCUGUGUUUCCUCGUCUUGCGGAGUAACUCCUGUGACCCUGUUGCAUUGCGUCGCGUCGAUGCUUCCAACGUGACCCCAGGUCAGGCGGGACUACCCGCUGAAUUUAAGCAUAUCAAUAAGCGGAGGAAAAGAAACUAACAAGGAUUCCCCUAGUAACGGCGAGCGAACCGGGAAUAGCCCACCAUGAAAAUCGGUUGCCCUCGGCAUCCGAAUUGUAGUCUGGAGAAGCGUCCUCAGCGACGGACCGAGCCCAAGUCCCCUGGAAGGGGGCGCCAGAGAGGGUGAGAGCCCCGUUGUGCUCGGACCCUGUCGCACCACGAGGCGCUGUCAAAGAGUCGGGUUGUUUGAGAAUGCAGCCCUAAUCGGGUGGUAAAUUCCACCCAAGGCUAAAUAUUGGCGAGAGACCGAUAGCAAACAAGUACCGCGAGGGAAAGAUGAAAAGGACUUUGAAAAGAGAGUCAAAGAGUGCUUGAAAUUGCCGGGAGGGAAGCGGAUGGGGGCCGGCGAUGCGUCUCGGUCGGAUGUGGAACGGCUAUUAUCCGGUCCGCCGAUCGACUCGAGACGCGGAUCGACGCGGAUUGCGGCGGCGGCCCAAGCCCGGGCUGUCGAUAUGCUCGUGGAGAUGUCGUCGCCGCGAUCGUGGCUGGCAGCACGCGCCUGUUGGCGUGCCUCGGCACCUGCGUGCUCCCGGCAUCGGCCUGCGGGCUCCCCAUCCGGCCCGUCUUGAAACACGGACCAAGGAGUCUGACAUGUGUGCGAGUCAACGGGCGAGCAAACCCGUGAGGCGCAAGGAAGCUGACUG